GAUUUCUGACUUGGUGCACCUGGCCCGCCACGGUUACGUGUGUGAGUGCCGGGAUGCGCCUGUCACUUUUCUAGUAAACUAUUAUGCUCUUCAUUGAGUGUGAUAGGUAGCUAGAUAUUUUACUUUGAAAAAAUUAGAGUGUUUAAAGCAGGCUUGCGCUAUGAAUAUAUUAGCAUGGAAUAAUAACUUAGGACUUUGGCUUAGAGUUUUAUUUGGUAUUUUGUGGGCUAAAGUAAUGAUUGAUAGGGACAGUUGGGGGUGCUAGUAUUCAGCGGCCAGAGGUGAAAUUCUUGGAUUCGCUGAAGACUAACUUAUGCGAAAGCAUU
Molecule: ribosomal RNA, 326 nt
Filed under: Allapsidae sp.
Lineage: Eukaryota; Cercozoa; Glissomonadida; Viridiraptoridae
Description: SSU rRNA
Rfam family: Eukaryotic small subunit ribosomal RNA
Source: RNAcentral